RNAcentral lists this ribosomal RNA (1991 nucleotides) under Triticum aestivum (bread wheat). Its description in RNAcentral is "partial small subunit ribosomal RNA". The record is from RNAcentral. Lineage: Eukaryota; Viridiplantae; Streptophyta; Magnoliopsida; Poales; Poaceae.
GUCACACCUCACCAGACCUGACCGCGACUCUUCCCAUCGCUGGACCUCCACCAGAGCUACCUACCCACGCCGGCCGCCCCGCCGACUAUACUCCGGCUGCCGCCGCCGUCGCCACCACGCUCCUACCCGGACGCCGCUCCGAGCGCCUCCCCUCCAAACGCGCCGUAUUAACCCCUGCUCUUACAACCGAGGCCUACAGCUGCCGCCGUGCCCGUACCUUAGCGGCGUCACCGCCGACGCCUCAACCCCCCCUCCCUCCCCCCCACCCCACAUCCACCCAUCCACACGAAGCACCACGGCCUCUAAGGCGCGUUGCCUAGCCACCUCCGCCGUUCCCGUUCUUCCUCGUCGGGGCAUCGCGUUCCCGCUGCCCCCACCCCGUCCGCAGUGCUCACCCAUUUCGUCUAGAGGAGAUCGGCAUAUGGCUAGUAGCUCCAAUGGCCAUUGUCCAGCUAAUGGUGCAAAAGUUCUGCCUGGAAGGGGGAAGAAGAAUCAGGAGAAAUUACAGCUUGACAAAGAUGCAGCUUCUAGGGCCUGUCAAAAGGACAGGCAAUACAUUGAGAAAUUGGAAACUGAGCUGAGCAACUGCUAUCAGGAAAUUGACUAUUUGCAGGAUCAGUUAAAUAUCAGGAAUGUUGAAGCAAACAUCAUGGGGGAGCAUAUUCACGGCCUUGAACUGAAACUAACUGAACUUGAGAAAUUUCCUGAAAGAGUGAGAGUUAUGGACAAUGCUCUGAUGCGGUCUGAUUCUCAGUGCUGGCUUCUGAUGGAAGAAGUCCAAAGUAAAGAAGAGGAGCUGCAAAAGGCAGCCUUACAAAUAGAGAAGCUCGAAAGCGUAACUUUGGACAUGCAAUGUGAAAUUGAGAGUUUAAAACUUGAUUUGACUACGCUUGAGCAAAGACUUUUUGAUGCUGAGAGCUUUAGCCAGCAUACUGCCGAGUACAAAGUUAGAAUAGAGAAGCAACUGGGAGAACAUGAGCUCCAGCUGCAAGAGGCAUGGAAGACUAUUGAUCAUCUUGAGGGUGAGAAUAAACAACUGAAAAAAGAGUACUUGCCUGGAAGAGCUCCUAAACAAUCCUCUUCUACAGGCGUGGAGCAACUUGAUAAAACAGUGGAGCAUGAUGGUCAUGCAAACUAUGAAAGAGGUCAUGAAAUUCUUGAAAAGAUGGGGAAGCAAAAUGAAGAACCUGAACUUAUAAUUGAGCAGCUCAAGGUAGAACUUCGAGAACAAAAACUGAAAGCAAAGGAGGAUGCAGAAGAUCUCACUCAAGAAAUGGCUGAAUUGAGGUACCAGAUAACUGGCAUGCUUGAGGAAGAAUACAAGCGUCGGUCUUGCAUUGAGCAAGCGGCUAUUCAACAAAUUCAGCAGCUGGAGGCUCAGGUCUCCAAAGAGCAAAGGAAAUUGAGCGGAGCACUAAGACAACUGCAGGAAUCGCAUGAGCUAGCUGACACGCAAGCUACGGAGAUUAAGAAACUGAAGGAUGCUUUAGGGAGAUUGAACUCUGCAAUGAACCUCGGGAGGGUUUGCAAAUCUUGCUCUUGCGGGUUCUGUCCAAUGCUGGUAGAGUUGUCUAAUUGCUCGAUUGAAGGGUCGCUUGACCUCAGAUCUUCCGAUGCUAGCAACAUUGACGAAACACCACCGGAGAACCAAGCGCUAGUAGAGUGGCAUCCCGAUGAAGCUUCAGAUGGUGCCGCAGUAAAUAAUGUAGGAUGCUAGAUGCAUAUGCACUCAUGUGGGCAGUUGCUGUAUAUAAUUCUUUGUGCCACUGUUGUUUGUAGAUGCAUUUGUAACCUUAGUGAGCUAUUUUACUUACAGAUUACCACUUGAGUUAAGCUCCAACGGCAGCGCGAAUGUAACUUGUAAAAGCUUCAUAUGUAUCGUCUCAGAUUCAGCCUCAGGACUCACAAGGAUGUUACAUGUAUUAGCAUACACAGAUUUGCCAAAUGAGAAUGUUGUAAGUGGCAUGAGUUUGGUGUGUACACGUGGUUUG